UACAGAGGGGGCAAGCGUUAUUCGGAAUUAUUGGGCGUAAAGGGCGCGUAGGCGGCUUGGCAAGUGGAUGGUGAAAUCCCUCGGCUCAACCGAGGAACUGCCGUCCAAACUGCUUGGCUUGAGACCGGGAGAGGUGAGUGGAAUUCCCAGUGUAGCGGUGAAAUGCGUAGAUAUUGGGAGGAACACCAGUGGCGAAGGCGGCUCACUGGACCGGUACUGACGCUGAGGCGCGAAAGCGUGGGGAGCAAACGGG
This 253-nucleotide ribosomal RNA is filed under the name uncultured bacterium. RNAcentral's name for it is "partial 16S ribosomal RNA". It matches the Rfam family "Bacterial small subunit ribosomal RNA", at positions 524 to 776 of the family's 1533-position model. The record is from RNAcentral.